Long non-coding RNA from Patella vulgata (common limpet), 404 nucleotides. RefSeq lists it as uncharacterized. Lineage: Eukaryota; Metazoa; Mollusca; Gastropoda; Patellidae. The record is from RefSeq and is a predicted model, not a curated record. The transcript is spliced from 3 exons.
AUGGUCGGAAUACGACGCUAAAAGAUUUUACCGACAGAAAAAUUUUAGAUAUAUUUAUACCGGAAGUUGACUUGUUUGUCAAAACUUGUAACGAGAAGGCUCCUAAUAAACAAUGCUGGUUGGGAGAAACGUCAUCGUGUGCUCACGGAGGGGCUCCACAUAUAUCAGAUAGAUAUGUCGCUGGAUUCUUGUGGUUAGAUAAGCUUGGAUUAUCAGCUUUACGUGGAUUACAGGGUGUUUUACGACAAGAGUUUUAUGGCGGUAAUUAUGCCUUAAUAGACACAAACCUCAAUCCUAAUCCCGACUACUGGUUAACAUUGAUAUAUAAAAGACUGGUUGGUAGUCCCGUUUUCGAUGUAACUCAAACUACAGACCCUAAUGUUCGAGUCUACGCCCAUUGUACA